CAGGGAGUAGUUUAAUUUAGAAUAUCAGCUUUGGGUGUUGAUGGUAGAGUGACAAGUUCUUUCCCUGA
This 68-nucleotide transfer RNA is filed under the name Brachyteles arachnoides (woolly spider monkey). RNAcentral describes it as "tRNA-Pro". It matches the Rfam family "tRNA". From Rfam's summary of the family: Transfer RNA (tRNA) molecules are approximately 80 nucleotides in length. Their secondary structure includes four short double-helical elements and three loops (D, anti-codon, and T loops). The record is from RNAcentral. RNAcentral also lists the same sequence under 1 other name. Lineage: Eukaryota; Metazoa; Chordata; Mammalia; Primates; Atelidae.